Molecule: ribosomal RNA, 315 nt
Filed under: Triticum aestivum (bread wheat)
Lineage: Eukaryota; Viridiplantae; Streptophyta; Magnoliopsida; Poales; Poaceae
Description: partial small subunit ribosomal RNA
Source: RNAcentral
AUGGCGCGAUCCGGCCCAGCCACAAUGCUAAACUCGACGUCUGACAAAGCUUUGACUGAUACUACGAUGUCGAGGCCCAUAACUAUUCUCGCGUGGUGGUUAGUGCGUAAAGGCCAAAGGCCAACUCAGAACAAACACCCAAACCAUAGUGUAUUAUUAGCUUGCGGAGACGAGCAAAGAUUCACGCUCGAUGUGACCCCAUCUCGUGGACUUACGGCAAGGGUGCAGAAUGCCCGGCCGUGCCACGUAAUUAUCUUGCGGGUGCUCUCCAGGCCCGCCCGACUUUCACAAAUGUCUCAAGUAAAGUCAAGGUAA